This 110-nucleotide small RNA is filed under the name Arabidopsis thaliana (thale cress). Its description in RNAcentral is "ATSL238160". The record is from RNAcentral. Lineage: Eukaryota; Viridiplantae; Streptophyta; Magnoliopsida; Brassicales; Brassicaceae.
UCUUCACCAGAUCCGAGGCGAAUUCCAUGGAUGCAUCACUCAAAACGGUUAAUGUCAACGACUUGCUUGCCAUCACGGAUAAGAAUGUCAACGAAGGGAACUCUGUUCAU